GCCUAACACAUGCAAGUCGAGCGGUAACAUUUCAAAAGCUUGCUUUUGAAGAUGACGAGCGGCGGACGGGUGAGUAAUGCCUGGGAAUUUGCCCAUUUGUGGGGGAUAACAGCUGGAAACGACUGCUAAUACCGCAUACGCCCUACGGGGGAAAGCAGGGGACCUUCGGGCCUUGCGCUGAUGGAUAAGCCCAGGUGGGAUUAGCUAGUAGGUGAGGUAAUGGCUCACCUAGGCGACGAUCCCUAGCUGGUCUGAGAGGAUGAUCAGCCACACUGGGACUGAGACACGGCCCAGACUCCUACGGGAGGCAGCAGUGGGGAAUAUUGCACAAUGGGGGAAACCCUGAUGCAGCCAUGCC
RNAcentral lists this ribosomal RNA (358 nucleotides) under uncultured bacterium. Its description in RNAcentral is "bacterial SSU rRNA". It matches the Rfam family "Bacterial small subunit ribosomal RNA", at positions 46 to 398 of the family's 1533-position model. The record is from RNAcentral.